This 26-nucleotide non-coding RNA is filed under the name Homo sapiens (human). Lineage: Eukaryota; Metazoa; Chordata; Mammalia; Primates; Hominidae. The record is from RNAcentral.
UCCUGUGCAUGGAGAUGGAGUCCCUC